RNAcentral lists this ribosomal RNA (376 nucleotides) under uncultured bacterium. RNAcentral's name for it is "bacterial SSU rRNA". It matches the Rfam family "Bacterial small subunit ribosomal RNA", at positions 524 to 898 of the family's 1533-position model. The record is from RNAcentral.
UACAGAGGGUGCAAGCGUUGUUCGGAAUUAUUGGGCGUAAAGGGAGUGUAGGCGGUUUGAUAAGUCUUCUGUGAAAUCUACGGGCUUAGCCUGUAACGUGCAGAGGAAACUGUCAGGCUUGAGUGUCGGAGAGGAUAGGGGAAUUCCCGGUGUAGAGGUGAAAUUCGUAGAGAUCGGGAGGAACACCAGUGGCGAAGGCGCCUAUCUGGCUGACAACUGACGCUGAGACUCGAAAGCAUGGGGAGCAAACAGGAUUAGAUACCCUGGUAGUCCAUGCCGUAAACGAUGAUAGCUAGAUGUGUGAGGUAUUGACCCCUUACGUGUCGAAGUCAACACGAUAAGCUAUCCGCCUGGGGAGUACGGUCGCAAGAUUAAA